This 253-nucleotide ribosomal RNA is filed under the name uncultured bacterium. RNAcentral's name for it is "partial 16S ribosomal RNA". It matches the Rfam family "Bacterial small subunit ribosomal RNA", at positions 524 to 776 of the family's 1533-position model. The record is from RNAcentral.
UACGGAGGGGGCUAGCGUUGUUCGGAAUUACUGGGCGUAAAGCGCGCGUAGGCGGACCUGCAAGUCGGGGGUGAAAGCCCGAGGCUCAACCUCGGAACUGCCUUCGAUACUGCGGGUCUCGAGUCCGGGAGAGGUGAGUGGAAUUCCUAGUGUAGAGGUAAAAUUCGUAGAUAUUAGGAAGAACACCAGUGGCGAAGGCGGCUCACUGGCCCGGUACUGACGCUGAGGCGCGAAAGCGUGGGUAGCAAACGGG